RNAcentral lists this ribosomal RNA (400 nucleotides) under uncultured Oxalobacteraceae bacterium. Its description in RNAcentral is "bacterial SSU rRNA". It matches the Rfam family "Bacterial small subunit ribosomal RNA", at positions 8 to 410 of the family's 1533-position model. Lineage: Bacteria; Pseudomonadati; Pseudomonadota; Betaproteobacteria; Burkholderiales; Oxalobacteraceae. The record is from RNAcentral.
AGAGUUUGAUCAUGGCUCAGAUUGAACGCUGGCGGCAUGCCUUACACAUGCAAGUCGAACGGCAGCGCGGGAGCAAUCCUGGCGGCGAGUGGCGAACGGGUGAGUAAUAUAUCGGAACGUGCCUUAGAGUGGGGGAUAACUAGUCGAAAGACUAGCUAAUACCGCAUACGACCUACGGGUGAAAGUGGGGGAUCGCAAGACCUCAUGCUCUUAGAGCGGCCGAUAUCUGAUUAGCUAGUUGGUGGGGUAAAAGCCUACCAAGGCGACGAUCAGUAGCUGGUCUGAGAGGACGACCAGCCACACUGGGACUGAGACACGGCCCAGACUCCUACGGGAGGCANCAGUGGGGAAUUUUGGACAAUGGGGGCAACCCUGAUCCAGCAAUGCCGCGUGUGUGAAG